This 463-nucleotide ribosomal RNA is filed under the name uncultured bacterium. RNAcentral describes it as "partial 16S ribosomal RNA". It matches the Rfam family "Bacterial small subunit ribosomal RNA", at positions 28 to 507 of the family's 1533-position model. The record is from RNAcentral.
GAUGAACGCUGACAGAAUGCUUAACACAUGCAAGUCUUUGGCGAAGCUGUUCUUGCACAGCCUAGCCAAGGCGGACGGGUUAGUAACGCGUUAGGAACUUGCCCUGCAGUCAGUGAUAACAUACGGAAACGACUGAUAAGACCUGGUAAAGUCAGGCUGACUCAUGUCCAGCCUGAUGAAAAGUGAUGCUGCAGGUGAGCCUUGGGUCCUAUUAGCUUGUUGGUGGGGUAACGGCCCACCAAGGAGAUGAUAGGUAGCCGGCCUGAGAGGGUGGACGGACAAAAGGGGAAUGAGAGACGGCAGUUACGAAUACGGGAGGAAGCAGUGGGGAAUAAUGGACAAAGGGGGCAAACAUGAUACAGAAAUUCUGUGUGCAAGAUGAAGGUUUUCGGAUUGAAAAGAGAUUUAAGAAGGGAAGAAAAAAAUGACGGUACCUGAAGAAGAAGCGACGGCUAAAUACGUG